CCAGAUAAUCAUUCAGUAAAUGAAUCCACACAAAAAUAUACGUUCAUAGAUGUAUUAGGAAUAUUUGAUGUGAGUCAGUGAGAGUUUUCCAUGGUAAUGCUGUUUUAUACGUAGAAACAUAAUUUAGGGAUUACAAGAGGUUACUUAGCACAUGAAUAAGAAAGCAAUAGAUAAAUACACAGUUCAGCUUUGGGAAUAUACUGUGUCUGGAUUUCAAGUUUCUGUCAGGUGUGAAGAAUUAGCAAUGUCACAAGUUAAUUUCAUUGAACAAUUCUAUUAGUAGCACUUACCAGAAUGAUUUUUAACUAUAAUGGCCACUUAUCAAAAGUUUAUGCAAUACUGAACGAUUAAAAAACAUGAGUUUGUACUGGUUCAUCUUAACAGCUUGCAGGCACAUACCCCACAGCAGCUGAAGACCACUGUCUGCUUGGAAGAGACUGCAGAACCAGACCUGGAAUCAUACCAGCACUGAAACAAGGCACAAGUUACAGGAAGGAAUGGAAGCUGCCAGUGAGGGUAGGGAUGGAGGAGCAGACACGCUGCUUGCCCUAACCACCAGCUUAGCACUGCAUUGAUUGAAGUCACUUCAUCAAGUGGCCCUUUUCUCCUCUGGAAGACCAGCAUACAGGAGUGGCUCACAGACUUCAGACUGCAUCUAUUUAAACCCUCCAAAGAUAUUCCUGGAUACAGGCAUGAAAGGCAUGAAUUGAAGCCAACACCGAGGGAAAAGGAGGACGUUUUGAUUCCUAACGUUCCCACACAUGAAUGCUCCAUAAUUACUGAAACAUCACAGGAUUAUUCAAACAGUAUUAAUCAGUACAAUGUUUGUCAAUGCCUCCAGAAUAAAUGCCCUUGUUUAGCUAUAAUACAAUUUCUAUAUGAAGACUUUAGUCCAGUUUUAGGAAAGAUUCUCACUCCCAACUCAUUAUUCGAGUACUAACAUACUUCAGAACAAGAAGAAAUUAAUCAGCUUGUAAGUCUACCCAGGUGUCUGAAAUAAAUGUUUGGCAGCUACUAUGUUUUUCAGAAAGCUUUCAAUUCACUACAAAUUCUACGUCAGAAGAUACAUAGGCAUUUAAUUUGGCUGACAGAUACCUGAUAGUCCACUGCCUUUUGGAGACAAUGUGGUGUUAAGAAUGUACUGAAACAAACACUGUGCCUGAACUUAGAUGGACUUGUAUUGGUAAGGGAGAGCAUCCAUGACAGCCAGUGCGUCAGUAAUGCACCAUGUGUUUGCACCAAACUGAGAGGAAAGGCCUUUUUCAAACUGGUUGUGCAGGGAAGAUUUAGGUCCAAUGACAUUUUAUUUCAUCUGGAAUUUAGACAGGAAUAUUAGUUUAACUGUCCAACUAGAUUAAAUGUCCAAUUACAUUACACCAGUGUGAAGAUUUUGGGUGGAGCGUUAAACAUCUUACUAAGUUAUUUGUCAAAGCAUUUUGACUAUUGCCUACCACCUGCAAGAAAAUACUGCUGCACACUGAAAUGCAGCUGCAGUAUCCAGUUACUCGUAGGGGUGCCAGUCUUUUUAGCAGUCACUAGACUAUAUCAUCUAUUACUAUGCUGCACACAUGCCAUACACUGUAUACUCGGUAUUGUAAUUUAACUCCCAUGCACUGCAUGAAUAUCAUUUUCAAACAGUAUUUGCAUGUGGCAAGAGCUCUGAGAAGCAAGAACUCACAAGCCAGCAACUGUUCCUCAGAACACACAAAUUUGACUGUGGAGAACAACAGCAGUUCAGAAACCAAGAAUACAUCAAAGAUUAUUCAUAUUUAAAGCCAACACCCCCCAAAAUCUUACAUAACAUUCCUUUUCCUUAGCAUAGCCUGCUGGCCUAGCAGCAAAAUGCCAACGAUAAUACUCUUUCAUGCUAAUGGUUUAGACUUCAAAACUGGAAAAGCAUCCCUGCUGAGAGAAGAGAACGUGACAGAUGGCAUGAGCUAUUGCAGUAAUCUUACUGACAAAGCACCAGGCACGUGAAGGAAGUUCAAAAUCUAUUUGCAUUUCCCAGUUGAAACAUGGAAGCUUGAUAGUAAAGGUACUCAGAAAGAAGUUAUCUACAGCUUUGAAAAUGUAGGUGUGAUUUUUUUGCUUCUACUUUCCUAAUGAAGAUUUAUAACUUCCACUUGGAAAAUAAACAAAGUUUACAACUUACAUUCAUAUGCUAGGAUAAGAUUAAGAGGCCUGCAGCCAAGCCUUGGAGCACUGUAAGAGCAGGUUAUUUCAGGUAUUGAAAUUGGCAGCCAUUUGGGAUUUAAUACAGGCUAAUGCUUCAAAUAAUUGGUCCAUUUAAACUAGUACUAAGAAAUCCAUACGCUUCUGCUGACAAAUUUGUAUUCAGUUUAAAGAAACGAGUAAAUGGGUCACUACAUUUAUCACAUUUUUUUGUUAAGACAUCACUUGUUUAUGGGUAAUCAGAUGUACACAGAUUACUCACACUUGUGUCACGUAUCGAUACCAAAUGCUCUUAUCCUGCAAAUAGGGACUGAUUAAAAGAUAACUUCAUCUGAUCCCAAUUCUACUACAGUCCUUUCAUGUGACAUUGGGAAAGCCAUUCUACUUCUCUGUUUGUGAUUUGCUGUUUACUUCUACUUCACAUUGUCAGUCUCAUCUAUAUUAAAUAGAGAAGUUAGGGAUCAAACUGUGACACAAACAAUAAAAACCUUGAAAGAAAGAUACAUAAAUUACUGUGGAAAGACGAAAUAAAUCAGCAAAAAACUGACAUGCUAACAGUGCUAGUAUUCGGUAUCUUAAGCAAAAGUCUUCACUGCAGCACAUCAGGAGGAAAAAUAUAUAAACUUUUAUAGAAACCUGAAAGUAAGAAACUAGACAUCAGCACUACAGAAAGGAUUUUGUUUUAGAAUUGUCUAAUUCUAAUUCUUAGAUACUUUUUUUUUUAAAUACACAAGUGGAGAAGGUUAAAUUUCUGAUGUUAUUCUUGCAUGUUCUCAUACAGCUGAGGUACAUACUCUGAUUAUCAACCAGCUAUGAUAUACUUCUGCUGCACUACCAGAGCUAUAAGCAAAUCUAUUGUUUAAAAGAGAAAUGCAGUGAGUGUAAAAGAAACCUAACAGCUCAGAAAUAACUACUGCAUGUGACCAUUGGCUAUUGCUCACAGAACCCCAUACACUCAGCUUAAAUAAUGGUCAUUGUUACUCCAUUUAUUGGAAGAAAAUUCUAAGUUUCUCCCAAAUGGAUUUCCUGAGAGGAAAGUAGCAACACUUAUGCCUGCAACGUGCUACAGAUUUUCUGAUGGUAUUGUCUAUAAUACAGUUUUAAGAAAGUACUUUUUAAGGACAUGAGUCUCUGGAGAUGCAGAUCACACACAUGAGAAUUGCAGACAUAUUAUUGCAAUUAACUGAAAAAGAAAAUAACAAAUACUACAUCUAUAAUCAAAGAAAAAUCUUCUCCUAGUUACAACAGUAAGGUUGAUAGCUUGAUUCCAGGAACCUGAUUGUUAAAGAAAGAUAUAAAAUACGUGAAUGAUAAGAAUAUUCAUCAAAAUGCAAAUGCAAAGGGUAUUUUUCAAAACGAAUAAUGGUAAACACGAAAAAGCAGCAAGCAGCCAGAAGAAAAAAAAGUCAAGAGGGUCAUUAAGGAACACGAAUGCACUAAUAGUGACAGAUGAGGCUGGUAUGGCUGAAGGCCUGAAUAAGUUAUUUGCCUUAACACUCAUGGAGUAAUUUGAAGCACAUCCGUGAGACUAAAAUAUAUUUUCACUGGAGAAAGCGACACAGUGGAUGAAAUACAAGGCAGAUGUUUAUUAUUCCAGAGCUCAAAAAAUAGUUCAGUAAUCAAAGCAACUGAAAACUGACAUGCAUCAGAAUGCAAGAAGAAAUAAAAUAACUUUAAAAGAUUUUCACUUUGAUUUCUAAGAGCUCAUUGAUAACAGGAGCAGGGAGAGAGACUUCCAGUGUCUAUUUCUCAGUUUCUGGGAAGACCUGUCCACGUGAGACGUGCUUAAGUUACAGAGAAAGGUUUAGCCUAUUUUUUUAUUAAAAUGCCUCCAAAUGGUAGUGGAAAAAUCCUCUGUCUCCUGAUUAGCAAAAAGAAGAUGGCAGUAUAUUCUCUUCAGUCUUCUACGAAGCUAUUAUAACCAGCAACAUAGCAACGAUAGACAAUAAGCCCAUGAAAACUGAUCAACUAGCAUAUAUUAAAGUGUCUUGCAAGUUAGUUCCCUAAUAUACACUUCAGAGCAUCUAAAAUUAAUGGACGUCAGUAAAAUAAGCCACUUCUCUCAUAGAGCAAAAUAUCACAUUGCCACUAAAAACUACCAUGUAUAAUUUUAAGAAAGAUGUAUAAUAUCCUAUGGCUUGUUCUAAGGUCCAGGAGGAAAGGCUGUUCUUUACUAAAUCUAAACAAUACACAAGAAUAUUCAUGAAAUAGGUUAUGUUUUGGCCAUUACUGACAGCAAAUACUAUAGAAACCAACACAAAGUUCCUUAAGGAAAGAACUAUAACAACAACUAGCACAGCAAUAACGAAUUCAUUAAGGGGAAUUCAAAAUUCCAUGUAAUUAAUUAAAAGAUCCUGAAGUCAAAAAUAAGGAUAUUUUUUGUCAUGUAGUAAUUAAACUAGGAUUUGAAUUGGCCAAGUUUCACCAAAUCCCUAUAGGGAAACUAUUACAAACGCAAGAUAGAUUUCUCAACUUCAAAAGUGCACUACGAGACCUUGCACAAAGGUCUUAGUGUACAUUUCUAUUAGGAGACUGUGACAAAACACAAAGAGUAAGUAGCACAAAACUUUGCAACAGAUAAUAUGACACAACUUAAGUACAUCAGGUAGAGGAAAAAAAUCUGAAAGGCCUAACGUGCUUGUUUGAACAACAACACAGAUACUUGAAAAGAAUAAGGACAGCAAAUAAAUCAAUUGCCCCACGGAACUUACACCUUUUCAACAGGAAACAUGCUACAACAGCAGAAAAAAAAAUGCUAGAAGAGGACUGGAAGUAGCCCAAUCAGAAACAAAAUGGCUGAGAUGCUGACUAGGAGUUUCUCACCUGGUAGCAUGGAGUACAAGACAACAGCUUUCACUAUUUGUAUUCUAUUGAGAGAAGUUGUAGACCUCACUAAUCUAACUCCAGUGAAUUGGCUACAGGAAAGAAUAGAUAAAUUGUAAUAAUCACAAGAUGAAUUUUAGGCAAACACUACAUUUUCUACUGAAGAAAAUUACUUCUUUCUAUGAAUGAGCAACAUCCUUCAGGAGGCAUCGUUCACCUGCCAGUCUUUCGAAUCACAGUGCUGAGUUGGAUUUGAAUCUCACAGGUUAUUUAAAUACAAUUUUAAAAGACUUUCAAGCACAUUUCAGCAGGAAAGUCAUAUACUUCCUUAUUCUUUGCACUGAUUGCACCACUGACCCAAGAGAAAUACCUGCUUGAGCGUAAAUUCUGCAGAAUUAUCUUCUUCUGGUUAACAUUCUGUAUUGCCAUUACUAUGAAAUGUCUUUUUUCUAACCAGGUAGCUAUAAGAAAAAUUUAAAAUCAAUCUAACAUGCUACAAUUAAAUGUUAUCACAAUAAAUGAGAAAAUUAAGCCAAGACCAUAAGGACAUCAAGGCUUCUGCAGCACCUUCUCCCAGUUAUAGGGACAGAAGAAGAAUUGUCAUGGAUAGGAAGAAGGUAACUUUCCACAGACUCUUGGAAUACCAGGAAGUUCAGAUAUGACUGACUUUACAUGCAGAAAAUGCAUCUUUCCAUUACAUAACAGCAAGCUGCUGUUCAUUGGACUGUAUGCAGAGGAGACACCUAAAGGCAGUAUCUAUCAGGAUUUUCUACAAUGCUCUUUUAUAGUGGGCAAACAGCAGAAUCGUAUAGAACAGAGAAGGUACAGCUGCUUCAGUCCCACUGUUGUUAUUAAAUCCUUUCCCAGGUAAAGACUAGGUCAUUUGUCCAUGGAUACAUAGCUCAUUUCAACUGGGCACUUAUUUAAAUUUAACCUGAACAGAAGAAAGCAAACAUCUGUAUUCAUCAUGCUCCCGUCUUAAUUUGUAGCUGGUUUUCUGGCAACAAAGCUUGCCCUAUUUACUUGUCCAUAAUUGCCAGUGUAAUGGGAUCAUUGGUGGAUGUUCCCCAGCAGCUUUGCAAAGACCUUUCUCACACUGAGAACUAGCAGUUGUCAGAAACUGUUUUCCAGGAGUAAGGUUCAGUGCAAAUCCACAAGGGAUGUAGUUGUUACUCACUCAUUUAAGGACUUUCUUCCAUUAGAACUUGCCCUACGCAGACACUUGACUAGUACUCUUUUCAGCAGAAGUACUAUUUCAGUUAGAGACAUUUUCUCUGCGCACUGUGUUGGUAUGGCUGUCACUUCCAUGCAGUAACUUGAAAGAUCCAAUUGCAUUUCCAUAUAUAAAACUGUCUAACCUGACAGGACGCUGUACUUUUUAUGUCCACCCACAUUUCCUGAUGUUUUCACCUUGAUUUAGAGCACACUUCUAAAAAUAAUUUUAAGUUCCGUGUUGCAAGAGGGAAGGGGGACAAAAAAUAUCUGUGCUUAUGACAUAAUCCUACAGCCUUGCACAUGAAAAUGACUGAUGUAACUCAGAGGAAUGGGGAAGCAGUAUAGUAAAGCACUCGGGUAAAUGCUUUACACAAGUGGAAAAAGCUGCAUCUCCCACAGGACUGAUUUAUGUGAGAGUUAAAUUGCUUGCGUGGAGAUGUUACACCAGCAUGUUUCCUCUCUGAAACAAAACACAAUGAAAUAUAAAGCCUCUCCCACUGUGAGCUAACAAAUUUAAAUCAGCCUCUUUUGCCUGUUGCUGUGGUAACCAGCUGCAGGAAGGGCUUUGCAGAAAUUCCAGGCAAAAACUGUAUGAAUUGUUUAUGUAAUCACAGAUCUCCAUAUGAAUAAAAAUCACUCACUGUAUCACAGGAGAGACGUGCUUUACUGGCUGCAUUAGCAGAACAGAUGUAAUACAUGACUGAUAUUAAUAAAGCAAGAGACCGAAUGUUCGCUAUGAAUUUCUAAGUUGUGACACCUCGUUACUCACUGUUUGGAGACAUGAAACAGCGUUCUGCCCACAGGACCAUCGCUGAAGCACAUCAAGCAGCAUUAAAUUCACUCUGAAUUUUGUUUAUCCUAAAUGGUAAAUAUCUUCCAAAAUUACAGUUAUGGUUAUGUAAUUGUGGAGUUCAGAGAAAACACAAGUCCUGGUAAAGGAGCAGCAUCAAAGAAGAUGCAAACGAGGAAAGUUACAGCUAUUUGCCUACAACUGAAAUGGAGUAUUAACAGUCUUGUACAAGAUUUAAGAUAAUUCAUGUUACAGAGAAAACAUACCUAAUGAGAGCCUUAAU
Gallus gallus (chicken) is the source of this 7283-nucleotide long non-coding RNA. RefSeq lists it as uncharacterized. The transcript is spliced from 3 exons. NCBI's taxonomy places the organism in Eukaryota, Metazoa, Chordata, Aves, Galliformes, Phasianidae. The record is from RefSeq and is a predicted model, not a curated record.